This 217-nucleotide long non-coding RNA is filed under the name Elaeis guineensis (African oil palm). RNAcentral's name for it is "long non-coding RNA (EGUI_LNC079664)". The record is from RNAcentral. Lineage: Eukaryota; Viridiplantae; Streptophyta; Magnoliopsida; Arecales; Arecaceae.
AGAAACGGCCUCAUGAGAGAAAUUAUCGCCUCGACCGCGCUUAGGUAGAUUUGCACGGUGGAUAACGUGCAAUCGAGAAUUCGUGACAUACAAAGGUUACUGUGGCGUAUUAUCCACCGUGGGAUUUGGAUGGUCUACAUGUGCGGGGUCCAGGUAAUAAUUUCUCCCCAUGAGUGACGCCAUCCCGAUUUAAACGCCGCCUGUACAUUUAACCCCA